GACGUAGGGCGCGAGCGUUGUCCGGAUUUAUUGGGCGUAAAGAGCUCGUAGGCGGCUUGUUGCGUCGACCGUGAAAACCCGGGGCUCAACUUCGGGCUUGCGGUCGAUACGGGCGGGCUAGAGUUCGGUAGGGGGAGACGUGAAUUCCUGGUGUAGCGGUGAAAUGCGCAGAUAUCAGGAGGAACACCGGUGGCGAAGGCGGGUCUCUGGGCCGGAACUGACGCUGAGGAGCGAAAGCGUGGGGAGCGAACAGG
Molecule: ribosomal RNA, 254 nt
Filed under: uncultured bacterium
Lineage: Bacteria
Description: partial 16S ribosomal RNA
Rfam family: Bacterial small subunit ribosomal RNA
Source: RNAcentral